GACGAACGCUGGCGGCGUGCUUAACACAUGCAAGUCGAACGGAAAGGCCCUGCUUUUGUGGGGUGCUCGAGUGGCGAACGGGUGAGUAACACGUGAGUAACCUGCCCUUGACUUUGGGAUAACUUCAGGAAACUGGGGCUAAUACCGGAUAGGAGCUCCUGCUGCAUGGUGGGGGUUGGAAAGUUUCGGCGGUUGGGGAUGGACUCGCUGGUUAUCAGCUUGUUGGUGGGGUAGUGGCGUACCAAGGCUUUGACGGGUAGCCGGCCUGAGAGGGUGACCGGCCACAUUGGGACUGCGAUACGGCCCAGACUCCUACGGGAGGCAGUAGUGGGGAAUCUUGCGGAAUGGGCGGAAGCGUGAGGCAGCAACGCUGCGUGCGGGAUGACGGCCUUCGGGUUGUAAACCGCUUUGGCCGGUAACGAGGCGGGAGUGACGGUAAUGGGUAAAGAAGCACCGGCUAACUACGUG
This 468-nucleotide ribosomal RNA is filed under the name uncultured bacterium. RNAcentral's name for it is "partial 16S ribosomal RNA". It matches the Rfam family "Bacterial small subunit ribosomal RNA", at positions 28 to 507 of the family's 1533-position model. The record is from RNAcentral.